RNAcentral lists this ribosomal RNA (254 nucleotides) under uncultured bacterium. RNAcentral describes it as "partial 16S ribosomal RNA". It matches the Rfam family "Bacterial small subunit ribosomal RNA", at positions 524 to 776 of the family's 1533-position model. The record is from RNAcentral.
UACGGGGGGAGCAAGCGUUGUUCGGAGUUACUGGGCGUAAAGGGCGCGUAGGCGGUCAGCACAAGUCAGUUGUGAAAUCUCCGGGCUUAACUCGGAAAGGUCAACUGAUACUGUGCGACUAGAGUGCAGAAGGGGCAACUGGAAUUCUCGGUGUAGCGGUGAAAUGCGUAGAUAUCGAGAGGAACACCUGCGGCGAAGGCGGGUUGCUGGGCUGACACUGACGCUGAUGCGCGAAAGCCAGGGGAGCGAACGGG